UAGGGCAAGUUAAUGAAAAUGCAAGAAAAAAAAAAUGGGAACCAAAAAGUGACUCCAAGGUUAGGUUUGCAUGAGUAUGUAUAAAUGUAGAUCUAGGGGAAAAAAGGCCCAAUAAACCUUCUGUUGUUGUUUUUUUUGAAAACCUCUAAUUGGCUGUUAUUUAUAUCUUACUUGACUAUUAUUUCUUGAAACCUUAGGGAAGGUUGAAGAUUUAUCCAGUACUUCUAUAUACCAUGCUGAAAAAUCACAUAUUGUCAUUCUUUAGACAAAAAGCUUCAAGAUUAUUUGUAUUUAAAUUUAAUCCAUUAAUACUUUAAAACUUUUGUGUUAAGAAAAACUGCCAGUUUGUGCUUUUGAAAUGUCUGUUUUGACAUCAUAGUCUACUAGUACAAUUUUGACAGUACAUAUGUACUGUUACUAAAAGCUUUAUAUGCAAUUAUUAAUGUGAAGUUUUCAUUUUUUACUCAAGGAAGGAUUUCCUAGAAACAUUUCAAGGGAUAAUAUGUCUACAUAUCUGUAUGUGUGUGUGUGUAUAUAUAUAUGCAUACACAGAUGCAUGUAUGUAUUUAUAAUGUGUUGCUGGUCUUUUGCAUUUUAAAGUGAUCAAGAUUCAUCAGAUUAAUUUUUUUUUGUUUCAGUAAACAUAAGUUCACGGAUUGAAAGAUACAGGUUUCAUUUCACCUUUCCAAAGGUGAUUAUAUGAAGGGCAUGUAACUUCACACAGUUAUCAUUCAGUUUGAAAAUGGGGUACAUUUAUUUCAAUGUGUUCAUUGGUAUAAGUUUCACUGGUGAAGAAUUUUUGCAGGUUUUCAUGAAUCUUGACAGAAAUCUAUUAAAAAAACUGUUCAGUAGUGCAGUAUUUUUGCUGCUGAGUAUGAACUAAGUUAAUAAUGAAAACAUCUGAUAAUUUACAAUUCAGAAUAACUAAGGGAAUGAGGUAAUUGUUUUUCUAAAAACUUUUUCCUAUAACUCACAGCAUUGUACCAUUUAUUGGCGGUUUUGUAGUGUUUGGGGGGGAAGACAGUAGAAAUGUCAUAUUAUUCAAUAGACAAUAUCAUGUUUGAACUUUUUUAAUGGAUAAUAGGGCAUAACUGAGUGCUGCUAUCUUGAAAUGUGCACAGGUACACUUAAUUUUUUUUUAAGUUUUUCCCAUUCAGGAAAACAUUGUUGUGAUCUAUACUACAGGAACCAAAUGUCAUGCAUCAUACAUAUGUGUAUAAAGUACAUAAAAUAUAUCUAAAUAUGCAUAAUGGGGGGAGGGUAAUAUUGUCUGUGAAACGAUGUAAGAAGCUUUUCACUUUAAAGAAAAAAUGCAUUACUUUCACUUAACAUUAGACACCAGGUCAAAAUUUUCAAGGUUGUUGUAGUACUCUAAUAAAUUCCAACAGUUGAUUCUUAGACAUGCUAGCUAGUGUUGAAGCUGUUCUACUCUAUUUAUGCUGAAUUUGAUUAUUUUAAUGCCAAAAAUUUUUUUAGUUAUAAUCACUGGUGAUAACUUGGAAAUAAAUAAUUAUGCAAUGACAGCUGACAGUUCAUUAUCUCUAGGUAAAAAUUCACUGGGUUUAGAGAAUGGUGUUAUUAGCUGAUUAUUAACAAAUCAAAUAUUUAUUUGUUACAUUAUUUUGUAUUUCAAAUUUCCUUUUACAUUCUUUUUUUAUGCUUUCUGACAUUACAUAUUUUUAAAGAGUAUGGAAAAAUAAUUUAAAGAUUUGAGGUCUGGUGGAUGUUUAUCUACUAAGUUUGAAAAUGUAAUAUUUUGAUAAUACUGUACUAAAACUGUCACACAAAUGCUUUUCUAAUGUUUUAACGUUGAGUAUUGCAGUUGCUGCUUUGUACAGAGGUUACUGCAAUAAAGGAAGUGGAUUCAUUAAACCUAUUUAAUGUCUACUCUUAUGUUUUAUCUGUUUCAUAAAUCUCUGUCAACUUUGUGAUUUAGUCUUAUUUAUACAUUUAUUUCAUGGUUGUCUGGGUUUUUUAAAUGGCUUUUAGCAUAAUCUUAAUGCCUGGAAAAGUUGUUUGAAAUUGUUCACUAUUCAAGGCUUUCGUAUAAUCACUAUUUAUAUUGACAGUGUGAUUGAGCCAUGUCAGAUGCAGCUCAUUUUGAUAUUUUGUAAAUGAUUUAGCUUUUCUUAUUCUGCUUUAUCUUUGGCUUAAAUCAUGUGUUUAUGAAUGAGGAAACUUGAAG
This 2185-nucleotide long non-coding RNA is filed under the name Sus scrofa (pig). Its description in RNAcentral is "lncRNA (ENSSSCG00005005199.1)". Lineage: Eukaryota; Metazoa; Chordata; Mammalia; Artiodactyla; Suidae. The record is from RNAcentral.